UAGAGUUUGAUCCUGGCUCAGAUUGAACGCUGGCGGCAGGCCUAACACAUGCAAGUCGAGCGGAUGAGGGGAGCUUGCUCCCUGAUUUAGCGGCGGACGGGUGAGUAAUGCCUAGGAAUCUGCCUGGUAGUGGGGGAUAACGUUCCGAAAGGAACGCUAAUACCGCAUACGUCCUACGGGAGAAAGCAGGGGACCUUCGGGCCUUGCGCUAUCAGAUGAGCCUAGGUCGGAUUAGCUAGUUGGUGAGGUAAUGGCUCACCAAGGCGACGAUCCGUAACUGGUCUGAGAGGAUGAUCAGUCACACUGGAACUGAGACACGGUCCAGACUCCUACGGGAGGCAGCAGUGGGGAAUAUUGGACAAUGGGCGAAAGCCUGAUCCAGCCAUGCCGCGUGUGUGAAGAAGGUCUUCGGAUUGUAAAGCACUUUAAGUUGGGAGGAAGGGCAUCAACCUAAUACGUUAGUGUUUUGACGUUACCAACAGAAUAAGCACCGGCUAACUUCGUGCCAGCAGCCGCGGUAAUACGAAGGGUGCAAGCGUUAAUCGGAAUUACUGGGCGUAAAGCGCGCGUAGGUGGUUCGUUAAGUUGGAUGUGAAAGCCCCGGGCUCAACCUGGGAACUGCAUCCAAAACUGGCGAGCUAGAGUACGGUAGAGGGUGGUGGAAUUUCCUGUGUAGCGGUGAAAUGCGUAGAUAUAGGAAGGAACCACCCAGUGGCGAAGGCGACCACCCUGGACUGAUACUA
This 743-nucleotide ribosomal RNA is filed under the name uncultured bacterium. RNAcentral describes it as "bacterial SSU rRNA". It matches the Rfam family "Bacterial small subunit ribosomal RNA", at positions 1 to 742 of the family's 1533-position model. The record is from RNAcentral.